AGUGAACGCUGGCGGCGUACUUAACACAUGCAAGUCGAACGAGAACGGGUUAUAGCUUGCUAUAAUUGUCAGCUAAGUGGCGCACGGGUGAGUAAUGUAUAGGUAAUAUGCCUCUUACUAAGGGAUAACAAAUGGAAACGUUUGCUAAUACCUUAUACUCCUUAUUAACAUAAGUUAAUAAGGGAAAGAUUUAUUGGUAAGAGAUUAGCCUGUAUUGUAUCAGCUAGUUGGUGGGGUAAUGGCUUACCAAGACUAUGACACAUAACUGGUUUGAGAGGAUGAUCAGUCACACUGGAACUGAGACACGGUCCAGACUCCUACGGGAGGCAGCAGUGGGGAAUAUUGCACAAUGGACGAAAGUCUGAUGCAGCAACGCCGCGUGGAGGAUGACACAUUUCGGUGCGUAAACUCCUUUUAUAUGAGAAGAUAAUGACGGUAUUAUAUGAAUAAGCACCGGCUAACUCCGUGCCAGCAGCCGCGGUAA
RNAcentral lists this ribosomal RNA (484 nucleotides) under uncultured bacterium. RNAcentral's name for it is "partial 16S ribosomal RNA". It matches the Rfam family "Bacterial small subunit ribosomal RNA", at positions 29 to 523 of the family's 1533-position model. The record is from RNAcentral.